RNAcentral lists this ribosomal RNA (467 nucleotides) under uncultured bacterium. RNAcentral describes it as "partial 16S ribosomal RNA". It matches the Rfam family "Bacterial small subunit ribosomal RNA", at positions 29 to 507 of the family's 1533-position model. The record is from RNAcentral.
ACGAACGCUGGCGGCGUGCUUAACACAUGCCAGUCGCACGGUGAAGCUCCAGCUUGCUGGAGUGGAUCAGUGGCGAACGGGUGAGUAACACGUGAGCAACCUGCCCCUGACUCUGGAAUAAGCGCUGGAAACGGCGUCUAAUACUGGAUACGAGAAGGGUCCGCAUGGGCACUUUCUGGAAAGUUUUUCGGUUGGGGAUGGGCUCGCGGCCUAUCAGCUUGUUGGUGAGGUAAUGGCUCACCAAGGCGACGACGGGUAGCCGGCCUGAGAGGGCGACCGGCCACACUGGGACUGAGACACGGCCCAGACUCCUACGGGAGGCAGCAGUGGGGAAUAUUGCACAAUGGGCGAAAGCCUGAUGCAGCGACGCCGCGUGAGGGAUGACGGCCUUCGGGUUGUAAACCUCUUUCAGCAGGGAAGAAGCGAAAGUGACGGUACCUGCAGAAGAAGCACCGGCUAACUACGUG